AUUACAUGUUAUUCUUAACACCUGCCACUUCUCUCUUCCCACCUCUAUCUGCCUUAUUGAACUUCAUCUUUCCUUCAUUCUCUUCAACUUCCACUUCUUCUUGUAUGGUCCUGUUGAUGCCAUCUUGUUUCCGUCCCCAGACUCAUCAUCUUUACCCUCUGUCAACUGAGUUCCCACCCUGGUUCUCUCUCAAGAUCUUCCUCUCAUAGCUUUCACCCUUGGUAAACAAUGAGGACACAUCUCAAAAAGAAUGAUGUAAUUUAAUUGCCUUGAGUUGGCUGGGCCAUCAUCUAUUAUAAAGUGCUCUUAAAAUUAAAGCUAAUUUAAUUCUGAAGAACUAAGGAUUAAGAAGUUAAGAGCUGGGGUUCUUACAAUAUGGCUUGCAGACUACAAGUGUGAACUGAGGAGGUCCCCAAAGUCACUUCUUACUAAGUGAAAGCGGUGUAAAUGGCUCUUAUCUGAACCACAAUGAAUUCACAUAUUCAAGUUGGCUUCUUCGGAAAUUUCAGGCCACAAAUGGCAGUGAUGCGACCAGGAGCAGUAACACGAUUACAAGUCGCAAUUUAGGAAGGGUGCUCCAUCAUCAUUUCAUGAUUCUCACUACAGCCCAGACAGGUGGGCAGAGCAGUGUUCUUUCCCCUUUAAUGAAUGAAGAAGCUGAGCCUCAAACAGAUGAGGGGGCUUCCUGGGUUCACAGAGCUCUAAAGGGCUGAGCUGUAGAUCCACGGCCACCAUGAUGAGCUAAGAGUUUCUGGAUUCAGUGCCUGCUGUUGCUCCUGGAGAUUUGUAUCCUGAUUGAAGGCUGGUUCCAUAUCUGUUCACCCAGUCACCUUUAAAAUUAAGUCCUGGGCACAAAUCAUUAGUCUGGCAAGUUACAUCACUGUGCCACUUCCAUCCGGACAGAAGGAACCCAGGUCAAGGCUGACAGGAGGAGCAGGAGCCGUCAAUGAGAGCAGACCUCAGAAGCCAACGGAGGUGAGAAGAGCACCAUCCACAGCCCCAUCCUCUGAAUGCUGUGGGAAGAAGUCCACAAAAUACCACCCCUUGGAGUCA
Molecule: long non-coding RNA, 1053 nt
Filed under: Homo sapiens (human)
Lineage: Eukaryota; Metazoa; Chordata; Mammalia; Primates; Hominidae
Description: FAM170B antisense RNA 1
Source: RNAcentral